Molecule: long non-coding RNA, 865 nt
Organism: Haemorhous mexicanus (house finch)
Lineage: Eukaryota; Metazoa; Chordata; Aves; Passeriformes; Fringillidae
Exons: 2
Source: RefSeq, a predicted model, not a curated record
AGUCACACCAGUCACACCAGUAACCCCACCAGUCACACCAGUAUGGGCCGGCUGCGGGGAUCCCAGUCACACCAGUAACACCAGGUGAGCCAUCCCAGUCACACCAGUCACACCAGUAACCCCACCAGUCACACCAGUAUGGGCCGGCUGCGGGGAUCCCAGUCACACCAGUAACACCAGGUGCCGAAAAUUCCGGAAAAAUCAAAAAUUCCAAGAAAAAUCUUCGGAAUUGUGGGAAAAAUCUUCGGAAUUUUGGGGAAAAUCUUCGGAAUUUUGGGGGAAAUCUUUGGAAUUUUGGGGAAAAUCUUUUCAAUUCCGGGAAAAAUCUUCGGAAUUUGGGGGAAAUCUUUAGAAUUUGGGAAAAAUCUUCGGAAUUUUGGGAAAAAUCUUCGGAAUUUGGGAAAAAUCUUCAGAAAUUUGGGAAAAAUCUUCGGAAUUUUGGGGGAAAUCUUCAGAAUUUUGGGAAAAAUCUUCAGAAUUUUGGGGGAAAUCUUUGGAAUUUUGGGAAAAUCUUUGGAAUUUGUGGAGAAAUCUUCGGAAUGCUGGAAAAAUCUUCAGAAAUUUGGGAAAAAUCUUUGGAAUUUUGGGGGAAUCUUUGGAAUUUGGGGGGAAACCUUCGGAAUUCUGGAAAAAUCUUCAGAAAUUUGGGAAAAAUCUUUGGAAUUUUGGGGGAAUCUUUGGAAUUUGGGGGGAAAUCUUCAGAAUUUUGGGAAAAAUCAUCGGAAAUUUGGGGAAAAUCUUCAGCAUUUUGGGAAAUAUCUUCGGAAUUUUGAGGAAAAUCUUCGGAAUUUUGGGAAAAAUCUUCGGAAUUUGGGGAUUUUUGCCACCCCUCCCCCCGGGGAGAUCAAUAAAGGAAGGCGAGCUC